This 815-nucleotide ribosomal RNA is filed under the name uncultured bacterium. RNAcentral's name for it is "bacterial SSU rRNA". It matches the Rfam family "Bacterial small subunit ribosomal RNA", at positions 72 to 889 of the family's 1533-position model. The record is from RNAcentral.
GCUUGCUUUUGAUGGGCGUCGACCGGCGCACGGGUGAGUAACGCGUAUCCAACCUGCCCACCACUUGGGGAUAACCUUGCGAAAGUAAGACUAAUACCCAAUGAUAUCUCUAGAAGACAUCUGAAGGAGAUUAAAGAUUUAUCGGUGAUGGAUGGGGAUGCGUCUGAUUAGCUUGUUGGCGGGGUAACGGCCCACCAAGGCGACGAUCAGUAGGGGUUCUGAGAGGAAGGUCCCCCACAUUGGAACUGAGACACGGUCCAAACUCCUACGGGAGGCAGCAGUGAGGAAUAUUGGUCAAUGGACGAGAGUCUGAACCAGCCAAGUAGCGUGCAGGAUGACGGCCCUAUGGGUUGUAAACUGCUUUUAUAAGGGAAUAAAGUGAGUCUCGUGAGACUUUUUGCAUGUACCUUAUGAAUAAGGACCGGCUAAUUCCGUGCCAGCAGCCGCGGUAAUACGGAAGGUCCGGGCGUUAUCCGGAUUUAUUGGGUUUAAAGGGAGCGUAGGCCGGAGAUUAAGCGUGUUGUGAAAUGUAGACGCUCAACGUCUGCACUGCAGCGCGAACUGGUUUCCUUGAGUACGCACAAAGUGGGCGGAAUUCGUGGUGUAGCGGUGAAAUGCUUAGAUAUCACGAAGAACUCCGAUUGCGAAGGCAGCUCACUGGAGCGCAACUGACGCUGAAGCUCGAAAGUGCGGGUAUCGAACAGGAUUAGAUACCCUGGUAGUCCGCACGGUAAACGAUGGAUGCCCGCUGUUGGUCUGAAUAGGUCAGCGGCCAAGCGAAAGCAUUAAGCAUCCCACCUGGGGAGUACGCCGGC